This 253-nucleotide ribosomal RNA is filed under the name uncultured bacterium. RNAcentral describes it as "partial 16S ribosomal RNA". It matches the Rfam family "Bacterial small subunit ribosomal RNA", at positions 524 to 776 of the family's 1533-position model. The record is from RNAcentral.
GACGAACCGUCCUAACGUUAUUCGGAUUCACUGGGCUUAAAGGGCGCGUAGGCGGUUUACCAAGUCCGGGGUGAAAUCUUUCGGCUCAACCGGAAAAGUGCCUUGGAUACUGGUGAACUCGAGGGAGGUAGGGGCAUGUGGAACUUCCGGUGGAGCGGUGAAAUGCGUUGAUAUCGGAAGGAACGCCGGUGGCGAAAGCGACGUGCUGGCCCUCUUCUGACGCUGAGGCGCGAAAGCUAGGGGAGCAAACAGG